RNAcentral lists this ribosomal RNA (468 nucleotides) under uncultured bacterium. RNAcentral describes it as "bacterial SSU rRNA". It matches the Rfam family "Bacterial small subunit ribosomal RNA", at positions 213 to 677 of the family's 1533-position model. The record is from RNAcentral.
UUUCGGUUAUUGAUGGGGAUGCGUUCCAUUAGAUAGUUGGCGGGGUAACGGCCCACCAAGUCAACGAUGGAUAGGGGUUCUGAGAGGAAGGUCCCCCACAUUGGAACUGAGACACGGUCCAAACUCCUACGGGAGGCAGCAGUGAGGAAUAUUGGUCAAUGGACGAGAGUCUGAACCAGCCAAGUAGCGUGAAGGAUGACUGCCCUAUGGGUUGUAAACUUCUUUUAUACGGGAAUAAAGUGGAGUAUGCAUACUCCUUUGUAUGUACCGUAUGAAUAAGGAUCGGCUAACUCCGUGCCAGCAGCCGCGGUAAUACGGAGGAUCCGAGCGUUAUCCGGAUUUAUUGGGUUUAAAGGGAGCGUAGGCGGGUGCUUAAGUCAGUUGUGAAAAGUUUGCGGCUCAACCGUAAAAUUGCAGUUGAUACUGGGUACCUUGAGUGCAGCAUAGGUAGGCGGAAUUCGUGGUGUA